AUUGAACGCUGGCGGCAUGCUUUACACAUGCAAGUCGAACGGUAACAGGCCUUCGGGUGCUGACGAGUGGCGAACGGGUGAGUAAUGCAUCGGAACGUACCCAGAGGUGGGGGAUAACGCAGCGAAAGCUGUGCUAAUACCGCAUGUGAUCUGAGGAUGAAAGCGGGGGACCGAGCAGCAAUGUUUGGCCUCGCGCCUUUGGAGCGGCCGAUGUCGGAUUAGCUAGUUGGUGGGGUAAAGGCCUACCAAGGCGACGAUCCGUAGCUGGUCUGAGAGGACGACCAGCCACACUGGAACUGAGACACGGCCCAGACUCCUACGGGAGGCAGCAGUAGGGAAUUUUGGGCAAUGGGCGCAAGCCUGAUGCAGCAAGGCCGCGUGCGGGAAGAAGGCCUUCGGGUUGUAAACCGCUGUUGUCAGGAACGAAACGGUGUCCGCUAAUACCGGGCGCUAAUGACGGUACCUGCAGAAUAAGCACCGGCUAACUACGUG
Molecule: ribosomal RNA, 492 nt
Filed under: uncultured bacterium
Lineage: Bacteria
Description: partial 16S ribosomal RNA
Rfam family: Bacterial small subunit ribosomal RNA
Source: RNAcentral